RNAcentral lists this transfer RNA (72 nucleotides) under Camelus bactrianus (Bactrian camel). It matches the Rfam family "tRNA". Rfam says of the family: Transfer RNA (tRNA) molecules are approximately 80 nucleotides in length. Their secondary structure includes four short double-helical elements and three loops (D, anti-codon, and T loops). The record is from Rfam by way of RNAcentral. Lineage: Eukaryota; Metazoa; Chordata; Mammalia; Artiodactyla; Camelidae. RNAcentral also lists the same sequence under 2 other names.
GAGGGUAUAGCUCAGUGCUAGAGUGUGUGCUUAACAUGCACGAGGUCCCGAGUUCAGUCCCAAGUACCUUCG